GAAAAUUUCCCAUUUGACAAAUAAAAGAGAGUCAGGAAAAAAUUAGAGUCACGAGAAAUCAGCAGAAUCAAAUAACAUAAACAGUAGGAAAAAGCAACUGAAAUGAGUCCAUUGGACCCAUUGGUAGAUAGAAGGUUAAAAGAUCUUAAUGAUUUUUGGUUAGGACAG
This is a long non-coding RNA of Octopus sinensis (East Asian common octopus), 168 nucleotides long. RefSeq lists it as uncharacterized. The transcript has 4 exons. The record is from RefSeq and is a predicted model, not a curated record. Lineage: Eukaryota; Metazoa; Mollusca; Cephalopoda; Octopoda; Octopodidae.